This 301-nucleotide ribosomal RNA is filed under the name uncultured bacterium. Its description in RNAcentral is "partial 16S ribosomal RNA". It matches the Rfam family "Bacterial small subunit ribosomal RNA", at positions 509 to 807 of the family's 1533-position model. The record is from RNAcentral.
CAGUAGCCGCGGUAAUACGGAGGGUGCAAGCGUUAAUCGGAAUUACUGGGCGUAAAGCGCACGCAGGCGGUCUGACAAGUCAGAUGUGAAAUCCCCGGGCUUAACCUGGGAACUGCAUUUGAAACUGUCAGGCUGGAGUCUUGUAGAGGGGGGUGGAAUUCCAGGUGUAGCGGUGAAAUGCGUAGAGAUCUGGAGGAAUACCGGUGGCGAAGGCGGCCCCCUGGACAAAGACUGACGCUCAGGUGCGAAAGCGUGGGGAGCAAACAGGAUUAGAUACCCGUGUAGUCCAUGUCUCUUAUAC